This 4655-nucleotide unclassified non-coding RNA is filed under the name Hevea brasiliensis (rubber tree). Lineage: Eukaryota; Viridiplantae; Streptophyta; Magnoliopsida; Malpighiales; Euphorbiaceae. The record is from RNAcentral.
CAGGAGAUUUUCUAAAAAUAAUUCACGAACAAUUUAUGGUUCUUCAGCAAAAUAAAAAGCAAAGAAAAAAGGAUUAUGGCCGCUUUGGUCCUAAAUGUCCUCGUUUACCCUAAAAGAAAGAGACACGUUUAAUUGGAAGCUAAGAGCCAACUCUAAAAAACGGGAAAUAUCACGCAUGCUACACAAAUUGAUUGUCUACCAGUAAUCGAUAAUAUCUAAGCUGUUGAGAUUAUUGGGUCACAGGCUGUUGUACAUAACACCAUUACUGAUAAAAAUGAUUUCACCGCACUUGUAAUAGUAGCAUAAAUAUAUCCGCUGUGGACAAGAAAUAAUCCUUUUUGUGCUGCAUACCAAUUAGCUGUUUAACACAUGACGAAGGGUCAGUGGAGCUCACAAUCGACCUCACUAUGCAGAUUGGUAAUAUUUAGAAUCGGUCACCGAAAACAACAAAGGCAGGGAAAAAAGAUUUCUAAGCAAUUUAGGCUCAGGCAAAGUGAAAAGGAAAUAACCAAAAAGCCAAAUUACCAUAAAAUAAAACCUGAAAGCAAACACCGCCAUCGCAAAAUCGCCACAAAGGCCACCUAAAAGCAAACAAUACUGUCACCGUUGAUUUUUUUCCCGCAAUCAUCACCACCAGCACCAGCAUACUACAGGUACCGAUCAUCAUUCCACCACCGUCACCUUCAUCAUAACUGUUGGCACCAACUAGAAAUCCAACAAUUAUGGACCAACUAUGGUCUCUAUCUUCAAUGAAAUUUCGGCAAAAUGGUCCUGCACUAGGGUGUAGGGCCAUUGGUUUCAUGAAUGAGGCAACCAUUCUACUGUUUCUCCCAAAUGAUCAUCUUAUUAUCUCAUCAAACAGAUGGUUAGCAAGGGCAGAAAAACAUUGAAGUGAGCUAAUAACUGUCCCUGCAAGCCAACGAAAUUGAGGACUGAACAUUUUUUGAAGUACAAGCCGCCUAUCUGGAAACAAAAACCUCCCAAUUCCCUAUUUCUUGCAAUAUAUUCUCGCAUUAGCCAUCAAGUGUGAUAUGAAAAAAAAAUAAUAAUAAAACCCUCAAGCCUGAGUAUGAAAAGAAAAAUAAAAAUAAAACAAAACCCUCAAGCCUGCACCUGAUAGAUGAAACUUAACAGUUAACGUACAAUUUCUCUUAUAAAGUAGGACGUACGAUGUAUCUUUAUGUUUCUUAAAUACAUAAUUUUCUUACUUGUUACCUGACCCAUUUUCUGGGCUCAUUCAUCAUUGUAACGGUACCAACACAAUUAAGAUAUUUGAAUUUUAUUUUUUGAAGACCUAAAUCUCCUUUUCAGACUAUGAUGGAAACUGGGUACUUAUCACCUCCUACAACCAAGAAAUGCGUUCCUUCUUCCAUCACUUUCAGACCAACUUCAUUAACUCUGCUGAAGUGCUCGCAAGGGCUCAGUUCAAAUUCAAUUUCAGCUCUUUCCCCUGCACUUAGUAUCACACUUUUGAAUCCAAUCAACUCUUUCCUUGGCCUCCCAUUUCCAUGCCUUGCUUGUCUCACAAAUAGCAAUACUGGAUGCUUACCGGCCAUCUCCCCUUGGUUCUCCACUCCAACUCUAACUGAGAACUCACUUUCCUUACAGAAUUCUGUGCCCAACUCAGAGACCAAUGUGGAGCGCACAGAGUCUGAGUUGUCAAUUACAUGCACUGUUGAAGAUUGAUUUAAAUAGAAUUUGUUUCGGGUGACAGACUUGAGUUCAUAAGAGUAAUUCGAGUAGCUGAGGCCAUAACCAAACUCAAAAACGUUCUGGCCUUUGUAGAAUCUGUAUGUUCGGCCGGGAUAGCCUGAAGAGGAAUCAGGACGCAUCCUCAUAUCUGUCAUUGGUACUUUGACAAAUUCUUGUGGAUACCAGGUCAUUGGUAAUCUCCCUCCUGGAUUGUGAUCACCAAAUAUGAUUUCUGCAAGUGCUAUCCCACCAGCUUCACCAGGAUAACCAGCCCAGAGAAUGCUUCCAAUGUUCUUGUCAUUCUUGGCAAAAGAUACAUCAACUGGACCUCCGGAAAGAAGCACUAGAAUAAUUGGAUUCUUUGCAGAUUUUGCAACAUUGAUGAUGAGAUCUUGUUGCUUCCCUGGCAGCACCAAGUCUACACGAUCAAGUUCCUCCCUCUCUUGAGUUUGAUCGAGUCCCAUUACCAGUACCACAUGGUCCGCCCCUCUUGCUAUGUCAACUGCCUUGUCAAUGGAAGCUGAAGAGCAUUGAACUGUAUCACACCCUGGGUGAUAAAUAGUGUUUUUGAUGUAGUCUUGCAGUGCUUGCAAUAGCGUUACAGAUUUGCAUGGAGGGCCUGCAUAGUUUCCAAGAAGUGUUUGUGCAGAAUUGGCAUUAGGGCCAAUUACCGCAAGGGACAUGGUCCUAGAUUUUGUAAGUGGGAGGAGUCUUGCAGAGUUUUUCAAGAGGACAAUGCCAUUGCGAGCUGCUUCAAGGGCUAGUAUCUGGUGCUCCUGGGAGCAGACCUGGUCAGGACCAAUGUUGCUAAAAGGUUGUUCCGCUGGAUUUCCAUUGAAAAGUCCUAACCUCAUUCUUACAGAGAAGAGGUUGUGAAGGGCUCUGUCUAUUUCAGAUUCAGGCAGUUUUUUCUGCUCCACAGCUGCUUUGGUGUGUUUUUGCAAGUAUGAUCCGCAAUUGACAUCCAUCCCAGCUUUAAGUACAUCAACCACAGCAUCUUCUGGUGAUUUAGCAUAUCCUUGAUCAUCGUAGAUGAUGGAAACCGCGUCACAGUCAGAUGUGAUGUACCUGAUGAUUAUUAUUAUUAUUGUUGUAAUAUUAUGAUAAUCAACCAGUCAAUAAUUGCAAUCAAAUCCACCACUUCUUAUCGUCUAAAAUACCCAUCGUAAGAAAAUACUUGCAAUGCAAAUGAAGCACUUUUUAAUACCCAUGAAAAUCCCAUUGCCCUCUAGCAGUUCUGGAAAGGAGAUUGAAAUCUGCGCAGCUCGGGAUUCCAUUAACUCUAUUGUAAGCACACAUGAUGCCACUUGCUUUUCCUUGUUGAACACAACUCUGGAAUGGUGGCUGAUAGGUGUCUGCUAAAUCUUGCACAGUAACCUGAUUUAAAAAGUAAAAUAAAUAAACAUAGCAUUAUAUAAUAUCCUUAAAACAUCUGUUCACACAAUAGCCAAUCAUGCACAUUCACCGUUGUAUUACGCAAAGCAUUUAUUUUAAGUAUGAUCCAACCGGAGCAAAAUUCACAUAUACACACGUAAUUAUCCACCCCAUAAGAUGAUAACCUGUUCAGACUUCAGCAAAUAUUAAACCACAAGCGUGUGAAUAAGAAAAUCUUAAAAGUUGCUUGACUAGAGAAAAGAAGAAACCCCACCCCUACCCUUAUUUUCUUCGAAAUCAUUUAAAAUUUGUGCAAAAUUCAAGAUCAGGAAAGUAACGUUGUUAUUCUUUUCAAGUUGUGAUUUAUUCACCAAUUGCUUCGUUAGGAGAAGUUAGGCAAUACCCACAAAGCCAAAUUAACAUGAAUCCAAAGCCAAAAUAAAGAACAUCCACCAACCCAGAUGUUGGAUAAAAUAGAUUAAGAUAAAAAUGGUUGAAGCCAAAAAAAUGUUGGAUAACAUCCACCGAUCCAGGAAAGGGCCAAUGGGCUGCAGACUUACACGAGCAUCAAACACAAAGCGGUUCACACCCUUCCAAUUGUCUAAAUCAUAAGCAGUAAAAUGCUUACAACAAGCUGAAGCUUGAAGAUGCCCUUUAAGCUUCCCUCCCUGAAAAGAAUCCCCCUGAACUCCUCUCACAUAUGAAACUGCAUAUUUCCCUGUCACCAGGGGAUCCUCCCCUGGCGUCUCUUGCCCUCUCCCCCAUCUCGGGUCCCUAAAUAUGUUAAUGUUUGGUGCCCAAAAUGUCAUCCCUGUAGCUUGACCUGCAUUGUACAAUGCUCUUGCUUCUCUUCCAAUCACCUGACCAAUGCGAUACCACUGAUACUCAUCAAAAGAAGCGGCAGUAAGAAUGACCUGAGGGAAGCUAGUGGCGGCUCGAAUGGUGCCGUCAAAAUGAAUUCCACGUCCCACAUUGGCGAUCCCAUGUAAUGCUUCGGACCACCACUCAUAAGCCGGGAUACCGAGUCGGGGAACCGGUGGGGCUGAGCUAACGAGUUGGGAAAUCUUCUCAUCUAAUGUGAGCCUAGAAACAAGGUCCCUGGCUCUUUGGGUGAUGGGUAAUGUGGUUUCACAAAAAGGGUAGGAGCUUGUUGAUGGGUUUGAUGGAUCACAAGAAAAUGGAGGCUGAGUUGAGGCAAUUCGGAGGACAAGAAAAGUGAAGAUAGUAAUGGUGAGGCAAGAGAAAGCUUGGGGUCUCAUUAUGGAGGUUUUUUAGUGAAGUAUACAAUGAGUGGGCAGCGACGAGCAAGAGCUGGUAGCUAUGGAGGUGAAAAUGUAAUGAGUGGGCAGUGACGAGCAAGAGCUGAUAGUUAUGGAGGCGAAAAUGCCAUUGAACUGCAGUUUUGUCGGUCACUGAUGUUUUUGCUGAAAUGUCGCAAUUCACUUAUUUUUUUAGUUAGAGAUACUAUCAAUGAAAAAGCAUACAUAGCGAAGCCCAGAAUAAGAGUUGAUAGAGAGUAAAGAGCUAACAAACGUCAGAGACAUACAACCUAAUGAAACCUAACUCAUAAAACAUAUAAUCCGAUCCGU